GAGAAAUCCAGAGCUUGGAAAUCAAUGUUUGGGGCCAUGUCACUAUCAACACUGAUUGCUGGAACCCUUGAAUUUUUCCACAUGGUGAUCGCUCGCAGCU
RNAcentral lists this small RNA (100 nucleotides) under Pongo abelii (Sumatran orangutan). RNAcentral's name for it is "processed transcript". Lineage: Eukaryota; Metazoa; Chordata; Mammalia; Primates; Hominidae. The record is from RNAcentral.